GAGAAAUCCUGGAAGGGUGGGAGUCUGGAUUUUGGUUAUUUGACCUUUUUUUUUUUUUUUUAGAAGGUUUUGCACUGUCCUCUCUCCUCACCUGAAUCUCCUGAUCUGUCUCUGGGAGGUUGACCACCCCUUGCAUGUUAUGCUGCUUCUUAAGGCCCCUUUGGACUUUUCAGACCAGAUCCUGUGCAUGUCAACACUGAAGAAAGAAAGCAGGCUUGAAAAAACAAGCAUGGGCUAUGCAAACAAUUUCUCCUCAUACAGGUCAUUGAUGCCAUGACUCAGAAGAGGAAAAUGGAACUCAGGAUGCCAGGCAAACA
Molecule: long non-coding RNA, 317 nt
Filed under: Zonotrichia albicollis (white-throated sparrow)
Lineage: Eukaryota; Metazoa; Chordata; Aves; Passeriformes; Passerellidae
Description: lncRNA (ENSZALG00000006995.1)
Source: RNAcentral